Molecule: ribosomal RNA, 253 nt
Filed under: uncultured Blautia sp.
Lineage: Bacteria; Bacillati; Bacillota; Clostridia; Lachnospirales; Lachnospiraceae
Description: partial 16S ribosomal RNA
Rfam family: Bacterial small subunit ribosomal RNA
Source: RNAcentral
UACGGAGGAUGCGAGCGUUAUCCGGAUUUAUUGGGUGUAAAGGGAGCGUAGGCGGCGAUGCAAGUCAGAAGUGAAAGCCCGGGGCUCAACUCCGGGACUGCAUUUGGAACUGUGCUGCUAGAGUGUCGGAGAGGCAGGCGGAAUUCCUAGUGUAGCGGUGAAAUGCGUAGAUAUUAGGAGGAACACCAGUGGCGAAGGCGGCCUGCUGGACGAUGACUGACGUUGAGGCUCGAAAGCAUGGGUAGCGAACAGG